This 210-nucleotide unclassified non-coding RNA is filed under the name soil metagenome. RNAcentral describes it as "partial contains 5.8S ribosomal RNA, internal transcribed spacer 2, and large subunit ribosomal RNA". The record is from RNAcentral.
AACCUUAUGGACCUGCGGGCGUAUACCUGCGGAGGGAUCAUUACCGAGUUUACAACUCCCAAACCCCUGUGAACAUACCAAUUGUUGCCUCGGCGGAUCAGCCCGCUCCCGGUAAAACGGGACGGCCCGCCAGAGGACCCCUAAACUCUGUUUCUAUAUGUAACUUCUGAGUAAAACCAUAAAUAAAUCAAAACUUUUAACAAUGGAUCU